Molecule: unclassified non-coding RNA, 240 nt
Filed under: root metagenome
Description: partial contains small subunit ribosomal RNA, internal transcribed spacer 1, and 5.8S ribosomal RNA
Source: RNAcentral
UCUCCGUAGGUGAACCUGCGGAAGGAUCAUUAAUGGAAUACAAAGUCGGUUGAUUGUGCUGGCACGCAAGUGCAUGUGCACGUCGGUCGCAAAUCCACACACCUGUGCACCUUAGACUCCGAGUGAGUGGCUGUAAUUGGUCGCACCUCGGAGUAUUUUACACACGCUGAAUGUAAAAGGAUGUUGUAGUGCUCAGCACAAAACAAAAUACAACUUUCAACAACGGAUCUCUUGGCUCUC